Molecule: transfer RNA, 74 nt
Filed under: Mycobacterium sp. 1081908.1
Lineage: Bacteria; Bacillati; Actinomycetota; Actinomycetes; Mycobacteriales; Mycobacteriaceae
Also listed under: 2 other names
Description: tRNA-Leu
Rfam family: tRNA
About the family: Transfer RNA (tRNA) molecules are approximately 80 nucleotides in length. Their secondary structure includes four short double-helical elements and three loops (D, anti-codon, and T loops).
Source: RNAcentral
GCCCCUAUAGCCCAAUUGGCAGAGGCAGCGGACUUAAAAUCCGUCCAGUCUGGGUUCGAGUCCCAGUGGGGGCA